UGCCAGCACUUUAGGAGGUUGAGUCAGGAGGAUAGCUUAAACCCAGGAGUUUGAGGCCAACCUGGGCAACACAGUGGGACACCAUCUCUACAAAAAAAUAAAAAAAAUAGCCAGGCACAGUGGCACGCACUCAGGAGGCUGAAGCAGGAGGAUCCUUUGAGCCUGGGAGGUUGAGGUUGCAGUGAGCACCACUGCACACCAGCCUGAGUGACAGAGCGAGUCCCUGUCUCAAAAAAUAAUAAUAAUUGCUCCUCGGCCUUUUGGCUAAGAUCAAGUACAAAAGAAUAAUAAUAAAUAUUUUUAAAUAAAAAGCAAUCCAUCACCUGUACCCCCCACAACUUUCUAACGUGUAUUAUCACCUUUGACUUCCUCAAAUCCUCUUCAAGAAUCACCCAUCCCUAUUUCAAGACUGGCGGACAUCAUUCUAUUCCUUUUAUAGGGCUUUGCUGUUUCCUAAAACACUUUCAUUUUCUGGUGGCAAUAAAAGUAGUCUGGUGGUGAUACAAACUAAUGUUGUUUUCUUUAACACUUACAGCUCAUCUGUAGGAUCACUUCGAUUUGCACUCUUUUUGCAAAGGCAAAACAUCUAAAGAAGAGACAGUAUCCAUACACUUGUCUACUCAUUAUUAUCAUUCGAGACAGACAAAACGCCCACCUGGGGAGGAAAUUCCCCAUGAAAAAGACAGAGUCAUGUGAAGCUGGCUGGGUGCCCUCAAUCCAGAAGAGGAGCCCACGGCCCCAAGGAAUGGGGAAGCCACCACUACCACUUGGAAGGAGGCUGUAUCCCUGAAUGGCACUGUGGAGCAUACACAUUUCUCCCCAUUCACUGGCCAGAGUUAGACUGUAACAAAGGAAUCAAGAAGGGUGGAGAGUGUAUCUGCAGAAGGAAUCAGCUGAGUUUGGAGACUAUUUUGAUAUCCUGAUUCCCUCUUAAGAAAUGAUGACUCAAUGCAAAUCAAGAGGAUGACAUGACUGCUAAAAAAUGUAAUGCAUUAUUGGCACCAUUCGUAAAAGUAUACUGUCCACAGUAAAAAAAAAUAUGUUGUCCUGGGUAAUACAUUUUAAGAAAUAUAUCAUUAAAAGCAUGUGUCUAAAGGAGGACAAUCAGGAUAAGGGAGAGUUCUGGAAACAUGUCAUAUGGAUAAUAAGAAAAAAUAAAGCUUAAAGAAAAAUAAGAAGGAAUAUGACAAAUAUUUUCAAAUAGGAGUAAAUUUAUUUCAUAUAGAUUCAGGGGGAGAAUCAAGUCUGAGGAUUAUAAACCAUAAGCAGACUGAUUUCCACUCAAUAUAAGGAAACACUUUCCAUUAAAACUGUCCAAUAAUGGCCAGGUGCAGUGGCUCAUGCCUGUAAUGUCAGCACUUUGGGAGGCCAAGGCAGCCAGAUCACCUGAGGUCGGGAGUUCAAGACCAGCCUGGUCAACAUGGUGAAACCCUGUCUCUACCAAAAAAAAAAAUUAGCCAGGUGUGGUGGUGGGUGCCUGUAAUCCCAGCUACUCAGGAGGCUGAGGCACAAGAAUCGCUUGAGCUUGGGAGGUGGAGGUUGCAAUGAACCGAGAUUGACAGAGGAGACGCCAUCUCAAAAAAAAAAAAAAAAAAAAGAAAGAAAGAAAGAAAAAGCAGAGGGAGAAAACUGUCCAAUCAUUAUUGGAGUUAGGUCCAUGGAAACGUAGUGAACUCCUAGUUACUAAAAGAAUUCAAGAGAAAGCUGAAUAAUAUUCCAGAAAGUACACUAUAAAACAGGAGUUGGCUGGGCAUGGUGGCUCACGCCUGUAAUCCUAGCACUUUGGGAGGCCGAGGCAGGCAGAUCAUGAGG
This 1812-nucleotide long non-coding RNA is filed under the name Homo sapiens (human). Its description in RNAcentral is "HSALNT0193213". The record is from RNAcentral. Lineage: Eukaryota; Metazoa; Chordata; Mammalia; Primates; Hominidae.